This 407-nucleotide ribosomal RNA is filed under the name uncultured bacterium. RNAcentral describes it as "partial 16S ribosomal RNA". It matches the Rfam family "Bacterial small subunit ribosomal RNA", at positions 30 to 526 of the family's 1533-position model. The record is from RNAcentral.
AUUGAACGCUAGCGGGAUGCCUUACACAUGCAAGUCGAACGGAGUGGCGAACGGGUGAGUAAUGUAUCGGAACGUGCCCAGUAGCGGGGGAUAACUAAGCGAAAGCGUAGCUAAUACCGCAUACUAUUGGUCCGGUCGUUAUCGGCUGAGCUAGUUGGUGGGGUAACGGCUUACCAGGGCGACGAACCGUAGCUGGUUGGAGAGGACGACCAGCCACACUGGGACUGAGACACGGCCCAGACUCCUACGGGAGGCAGCAGUGGGGAAUAUUGGACAAGGGGGGAAACCCUGAUGCAGCCAUCCCGCGUGUACGAUGAAGGCCUUAGGGUUGUAAAGUACUUUUAGCAGGAAAGCGUUACCGGCAGAAUAAGCACCGGCUAACUACGUGCCAGCAGCCGCGGUAAUAC